RNAcentral lists this ribosomal RNA (498 nucleotides) under uncultured bacterium. RNAcentral describes it as "partial 16S ribosomal RNA". It matches the Rfam family "Bacterial small subunit ribosomal RNA", at positions 30 to 523 of the family's 1533-position model. The record is from RNAcentral.
AUUGAACGCUGGCGGCAUGCCUUACACAUGCAAGUCGAACGGUAAUAGGUCUUCGGAUGCUGACGAGUGGCGAACGGGUGAGUAAUACAUCGGAACGUGCCUAGCAGUUGGGGAUAACUACUCGAAAGAGUGGCUAAUACAGCAUGAGAUCUACGGAUGAAAGCAGGGGAUCGCAAGACAUUGUGCGACUAGAGCGGCCGAUGGCAGAUUAGGUAGUUGGUGGGAUAGAAGCUUACCAAGCCGACGAUCUGUAGCUGGUCUGAGAGGACGAUCAGCCACACUGGGACUGAGAAACGGCCCAGACUCCUACGGGAGGCAGCAGUGGGGAAUUUUGGACAAUGGGCGCAAGCCUGAUCCAGCAAUGCCGCGUGCAGGAUGAAGGCCUUCGGGUUGUAAACUGCUUUUGUACGGAACGAAAAGCCCCGGGUUAAUACCCUGGGGUCAUGACGGUACCGUAAGAAUAAGCACCGGCUAACUACGUGCCAGCCGCCGCAGUAA